UGGGAGCUCGACGGGUAUGAGGGAAAGCCCACUGAGCUCACGAAGGAUGUGUGGGAUGGCCUCAUCGCCUAUUGGAAGCACCCCUCUUCGAUCAAAAAGGCCAAUUCGUGCUCGGCUUCUCGAAGAACGAAGGAUAAAGAUGGCAAUUUGCCCAUGCUUCACAGAACCGGCCAAAAACCACAUGCAGGCAUCCGUCUAGAAGUUUUGGAGAAGACGGGAGUCUUACCAUCUCUGUCUGACCUAUUCAAGAUGACUCACGCCACAUCCGACGGAGUUUUUGUGGAUCCUGCAUCUGAGAAACUCGCUUAAGCAGUGGCUACUCGGAUUGAAGAACGGGAGACGCAACUAACUCAGGAGUCUCCCGAUGGAUUACCCGUCACAUUGUCCACCGAAGAAGCCGACAGAAUCUUCGAAGAGCUGGCUCCUAGAAAGAAUGGACGAAUAGUCGGUAUAGGCUCUGUUAACGAAGUUGCAAGGGCAACUUCGUCAUACACUUCGAGAUGGGAUGAAGAGACUUCUCAGAUGAAAGCUCGAAUGGAUAGCCAGCAGGUUCGUUUAGACUCUCUUGAGGAUUUGCUAGACGUGAUGGCCGUGGGAAAUCCGCUUAUGCAGAGAAUGUUGAGUGACAGACGAGCCGCUCUUGGGUUGCCAGUACGAGAUCCCCAAGAGUCUGAUUCAACCCGUCAACAGCCGAGUAACCCUACCGACUACUUCGAUGAUAUGUAGUUUUUUUAAUAUUUCGGUUUGUAUUAUGAAUUUAAAUAUUAUGACUUUUAAAUGCUUUUUUAAUAUAUGUUUUUUAUUUUCAUAUUUCGUUUUAAAAUUAAAAUAAUUUAAAAUUCCGAAUUUUAAAUAAAUUCAAAUAUAUAUUAUAAAAUUAAAUAUAUUUGAGGUUAAAAAAAAUUCAAAAUCUAUAUUAUAAAACGAAACGUCGAUAUAAACUCGACGUAAAUAUUUACGACUGAUUACCGUCGAAACAUUUACGUGGAGUUUACAUCGAAAUAUUUACGAGGGUUUUACAUCGAAAUGUUUACGUGUUCGUUACAACGAAAGUAUUUACGUCUGCUUUACAUCGAAUCCAUUACGUUGAGUUUACCACGAAUUAUUACGUCUCGUUUAAGACGAAACUAUGCCCUGCGCUUUACGAGAAAUAUAUUUCGUCGUAAAGUUAACAAGUCAUUUACGACGAAACUUCGGUUACGACGGGCGUUUUACGACGAAACGUGUUUCGAGGUUAAUUCGUCGUAACACCCCGUUUACGACGAAGGUACAAUGUAUAUUGCCUUCGUAAAAAAUAUGCUCUUGUAGUGAUAACAUUCCAAAUUUAUGGCCAUGCAAUACUUGUUGGUUGCAUCCUUCAGCCUUCUUACUAACGUUAAUCGAACAUUCGAUUCUUGACCGUUAAUACCUUUACACCAUCCACAUCCUAGUAUCAAAACUAUAAAAUAUAUGUUUACUUACAACCUUAUAAGGGUGAUGGUGAUCUUCUCGUUCGUACUUCUCUCAGUGGAAAUAAUUGAGAACCUAAUGAAUAGAUGUGGAUCCAAAGGAUACCAAUGUGGGAAUUCAAAGCAUGCAGAAUGCUACGGAAAAAAAUUCUUUAAUUCCGAAAUAUAUCGACUUUGGGACCAUUUUUAAAUAGCCUUUGAUUCCCAAAUCUCCAAUAAGUCAAAUCAAAAUCUUCAAGUAUGUCACAUGGGUAGGUUUAAUUGACGAACAUUAAAUGAGCGUCCCCAUAUAUAUCAGUGAUUGACACAUCUUUGAUUCACGUUCAUCACGUGUACUUUUGCAUCAUAGCUAAGCAAACAUAAUACCAAAUAUAUGCUUUCUUUAGCUCUUCCAACAAAGAAAAAAUUAUCUUCACAAGUCUUGCGGUUAAGUGCUUUUCUAAAAUAGAGUUUGUAGGAUUCGAGUCAUAAGAGAACUUUAUUAUAAGUGUAUCCCACCUUUACGACAAGUUCAUUGCUUGAUGUUAAGGUCAGUAUAGUCUUAGAACAAAUGUAUUUUUUUCCAAUUAUUGACGAACCAAGAAGAAAAAGACAGACCAGUCAUUAUUUUUGUGGGGUUUGUUUUGGAUGCUUUUGGCAUGGUCUUGGUUUUAGUAUCUCUAUCGCUUAUCAGUACCAUUGGCAUGCUCUUGGCAUGGUCUUGGGUUUUAGUAUCCCCGUCUCCAUCUAUCUUAUUAAAACUCAAGUACAAAAUUGGAGUGUUUGGAGACUUGAAUAGGACUUUUAAAAAUUUGGAGUGUUUGGAAACAUGGAUUGCACUCUUUUAAAAAAAAAUAUUUUUGUUUGAAAACAAAGAUAGUAGUAUUAAGAAAAAAAGUAAUGGGCUUA
This is a long non-coding RNA of Brassica rapa (field mustard), 2336 nucleotides long. RefSeq lists it as uncharacterized. The record is from RefSeq and is a predicted model, not a curated record. Lineage: Eukaryota; Viridiplantae; Streptophyta; Magnoliopsida; Brassicales; Brassicaceae.